This 449-nucleotide ribosomal RNA is filed under the name uncultured bacterium. Its description in RNAcentral is "partial 16S ribosomal RNA". It matches the Rfam family "Bacterial small subunit ribosomal RNA", at positions 29 to 523 of the family's 1533-position model. The record is from RNAcentral.
AACGAACGCUGGCGGCAUGCCUAACACAUGCAAGUCGAACGAGAUCUUCGGGUCGAGUGGCGCACGGGUGCGUAACGUGUGGGAAUCUGCUCUUUGGUUCGGAAUAGCAGUUGGAAACGACUGCUAAUACCGGAUGAUGACGAAAGUCCAAAGAUUUAUCGCCAGAGGAUGAGCCCGCGUAGGAUUAGCUAGUUGGUGUGGUAAAGGCGCACCAAGGCGACGAUCCUUAGCUGGUCUGAGAGGAUGAUCAGCCACACUGGGACUGAGACACGGCCCAGACUCCUACGGGAGGCAGCAGUGGGGAAUAUUGGACAAUGGGCGAAAGCCUGAUCCAGCAAUGCCGCGUGAGUGAUGAAGGCCUUAGGGUUGUAAAGCUCUUUUACCCGGGAUGAUAAUGACAGUACCGGGAGAAUAAGCUCCGGCUAACUCCGUGCCAGCCGCCGCCGUAA